GGACGAACGCUGGCGGCGUGCCUAACACAUGCAAGUCGAGCGGGGACAUGCGACGGAGGCGAAGUACUCGUACGGAGUCAAAGAUGUAAUGUCUAGCGGCGGACGGGUGAGUAACGCGUGAGCAACCUGUCCCUUACAGGGGGAUAACACAGCGAAAGUUGUACUAAUACCGCAUAAGACCACAGGAUGACAUCGUCCAGGGGUCAAAGGAGCAAUCCGGUAAGGGGUGGGCUCGCGUCCGAUUAGAUAGUUGGUGAGGUAACGGCCCACCAAGUCGACGAUCGGUAGCCGACCUGAGAGGGUGAUCGGCCACAUUGGGACUGAGACACGGCCCAAACUCCUACGGGAGGCAGCAGUGGGGAAUAUUGGGCAAUGGGGGGAAACCCUGACCCAGCAACGCCGCGUGAGGGAAGAAGGUUUUCGGAUCGUAAACCUCUGUCCCAGGUGAAGAGGAAGAGACGGUAGCCUGGGAGGAAGCCCCGGCUAACUACGUGCCAGCCGCAGC
RNAcentral lists this ribosomal RNA (505 nucleotides) under uncultured bacterium. RNAcentral describes it as "bacterial SSU rRNA". It matches the Rfam family "Bacterial small subunit ribosomal RNA", at positions 27 to 518 of the family's 1533-position model. The record is from RNAcentral.